RNAcentral lists this transfer RNA (87 nucleotides) under Klebsiella aerogenes. RNAcentral's name for it is "tRNA-Leu". It matches the Rfam family "tRNA". From Rfam's summary of the family: Transfer RNA (tRNA) molecules are approximately 80 nucleotides in length. Their secondary structure includes four short double-helical elements and three loops (D, anti-codon, and T loops). Lineage: Bacteria; Pseudomonadati; Pseudomonadota; Gammaproteobacteria; Enterobacterales; Enterobacteriaceae. The record is from RNAcentral. RNAcentral also lists the same sequence under 397 other names.
GCGAAGGUGGCGGAAUUGGUAGACGCGCUAGCUUCAGGUGUUAGUGUCUUAACGGACGUGAGGGUUCAAGUCCCUCUCUUCGCACCA